Molecule: ribosomal RNA, 448 nt
Filed under: uncultured bacterium
Lineage: Bacteria
Description: partial 16S ribosomal RNA
Rfam family: Bacterial small subunit ribosomal RNA
Source: RNAcentral
AACGAACGCUGGCGGCAUGCCUAACACAUGCAAGUCGAACGAGACCUUCGGGUCUAGUGGCGCACGGGUGCGUAACGCGUGGGAAUCUGCCUUUUGGUUCGGAAUAACAGUUGGAAACGAAUGCUAAUACCGGAUGAUGACGAAAGUACAAAGAUUUAUCGCCAGGAGGAUGAGCCCGCGUAGGAUUAGCUAGUUGGUGUGGUAAAGGCGCACGAAGGCGACGAUCCUAGCUGGUCUGAGAGGAGGAUCAGCCACACUGGGACUGAGACACGGCAGAGACGCCUAGGGGAGGCAGCAGUGGGGAAUAUUGGACAAUGGGCGAAAGCCUUAUCCAGCAAUGCCGCGUGAGUGAUGAAGGCCUUAGGGUUGUAAGGCUCUUUUACCCGGAUGAUAAUGACAGUACCGGGAGAAUAAGCUCCGGCUAACUCCGUGCCAGCCGCCGCCGUAA